AUUGAACGCUGGCGGCAUGCUUUACACAUGCAAGUCGAACGGUAACAGGGAGCUUGCUCCGCUGACGAGUGGCGAACGGGUGAGUAAUGCGUCGGAACGUGCCGAGUAGUGGGGGAUAACGCAGCGAAAGUUGUGCUAAUACCGCAUACGUACUGAGGUAGAAAGUGGGGGACCUUCGGGCCUCACGCUAUUCGAGCGGCCGACGUCUGAUUAGCUAGUAGGUGAGGUAAAGGCUCACCUAGGCGACGAUCAGUAGCGGGUCUGAGAGGAUGAUCCGCCACACUGGGACUGAGACACGGCCCAGACUCCUACGGGAGGCAGCAGUGGGGAAUUUUGGACAAUGGGCGAAAGCCUGAUCCAGCCAUGCCGCGUGUCUGAAGAGGGCCUUCGGGUUGUAAAGGACUUUUGUCGGGGAGGAAAUCCCCAGCGCUAAUACCGCUGGGGGAUGACAGUACCUGAAGAAUAAGCACCGGCUAACUACGUGCCAGCAGCCGCGGUAA
This 500-nucleotide ribosomal RNA is filed under the name uncultured bacterium. RNAcentral describes it as "partial 16S ribosomal RNA". It matches the Rfam family "Bacterial small subunit ribosomal RNA", at positions 30 to 523 of the family's 1533-position model. The record is from RNAcentral.